AUUGAACGCUGGCGGCAUGCCUUACACAUGCAAGUCGAACGGCAGCACGGGUGCUUGCACCUGGUGGCGAGUGGCGAACGGGUGAGUAAUGCAUCGGAACGUACCCGGGAGUGGGGGAUAACGUAGCGAAAGUUACGCUAAUACCGCAUAUUCUGUGAGCAGGAAAGAGGGGGAUCGCAAGACCUCCCGCUUUCGGAGCGGCCGAUGUCGGAUUAGCUAGUUGGUGGGGUAAAGGCCUACCAAGGCAACGAUCCGUAGCGGGUCUGAGAGGAUGAUCCGCCACACUGGGACUGAGACACGGCCCAGACUCCUACGGGAGGCAGCAGUGGGGAAUUUUGGACAAUGGGCGCAAGCCUGAUCCAGCCAUGCCGCGUGAGUGAAGAAGGCCUUCGGGUUGUAAAGCUCUUUCGGCCGGGAAGAAAUCGCAUCUCCUAAUACGGGGUGUGGAUGACGGUACCGGAAUAAGAAGCACCGGCUAACUACGUGCCAGCCGCCGCUGUAA
Molecule: ribosomal RNA, 502 nt
Filed under: uncultured bacterium
Lineage: Bacteria
Description: partial 16S ribosomal RNA
Rfam family: Bacterial small subunit ribosomal RNA
Source: RNAcentral